Molecule: long non-coding RNA, 416 nt
Organism: Suricata suricatta (meerkat)
Lineage: Eukaryota; Metazoa; Chordata; Mammalia; Carnivora; Herpestidae
Exons: 3
Source: RefSeq, a predicted model, not a curated record
ACACUAAAUAACUCUCCUGCUCUCAUUUAUUUUGUUGGUGAAUUUGGCCUUUCAUCCCUUUGACAGAGUGAAGGAGGAGGAAAUAUUGAAUUGAAAGAGGAGAUGGCCACUACUUACAGAAGACUUGAUCCCAAGACUAUGUCUGUGUUCCCUGUGGUUCCAGAAAUUCCCUUUUGAGAAGCACUGGGCGGAUGACUGUCUUCACCCAACUUACUCAUGGACAAGAGGAGAAGGCAAGAGGAGAUUUAGGAAGAAGGCCAUGUGUAGACUGAGGCUAUGAGUAUUGUCCUGCUGCCUCAAACCAGCGAACACUGGGGGCCACCAGAAGCUACCGGAAGCGAGGAAAAGAUCCCUUAGAGCAAGUGCAAGGAGCUUGGCCCUGCAGAAACAUCAACCUCAGACUUCUGGCCUCCAGG